UAUGUUUUCUUGUUCAUCUUUUGCAGAUGAGGAAACAAAAGGUUUUGAAGAUGCUGGAUCAGGAAAACUCAUCUAUGCCAUAGUUAUCACUUUUAUACUUUGUCUUGAAAAUAUCCUUCUCAUAAUCUGCUGUGUCAGAUACAAAUGGCCUCCUUACAUUUGGAUCAAGACCCGUGUCAUCAAGUGGAUAUCUUGUAAGAAAUACCAGAAUCCACCGGUUGAAAUGAGGACGCUGGAAGCAGCAGAUCAGCAAAUGGAUCAGAAACAGCAAAGCAGCAAAUGGAUCUGGAACCAGCAAAGCAGUUAAUGGAUCAGGAACCAGCAUCCCCACCUGCGCCGUAGUCAUUAUUUCUGUACUUGGUCUUGUAGCCAUCCUUCUCUUAAUCUUCUCUGUCAUAUUCAAGUGGCUUCUUUACAUUUGGAUCAUGAACCGAGUCAACGAGUGGAUAUCUCCUAAUGAAUACCAGAAUCCACCGACUGAAAUGAGGACGCUGGAAGCAGCAGAUCAGCAAAUGGAUCAGAAACAGCAAAGCAGCAAAUGGAUCUGGAACCAGCAAAGCAGUUAAUGGAUCAGGAACCAGCAUCCCCACCUGCGCCGUAGUCAUUAUUUCUGUACUUGGUCUUGUAGCCAUCCUUCUCUUAAUCUUCUCUGUCAUAUUCAAGUGGCUUCUUUACAUUUGGAUCAUGAACCGAGUCAACGAGUGGAUAUCUCCUAAUGAAUACCAGAAUCCACCGGUUAAUCAUACAAAUGCUAUGUUUUUUUAUUUUUUCUUCUUAUAGACUUUCAAUGAUUGCAUUAGCAUAUUCUGUUGUGUCUGGGGAGAGUCAUUUUCUUUUUGUGCCUUAUGAUGUAACACAUUUGAUGUAGUGGUUUAGCAUCAUCUUUUCAAAAACCCUGCUCAAGUGGUGGGGCAACAAACACAAACCCACCAACACCGGUUGUCAAGUAGUGGGGAGGGAGGACAAACACAGACACAAAGACCCCUUCCCCCAUACACACAUAUGUCUGUGAUUAUAAUUUAAUGCAACUCAUUUUUAUUAUGGAUGUUCAGAUAAUGCAUGCACCAUGACAUAUAGUAACCACCCAGGGGCAAUACCUGGGGCACAUCUACACAUGAAUGCUCCAAUGACUUGCCUCAUGACUUUCACAAAAAUCUAUAUUUUUUAAGGAAAUUUUCUACAAAUCCACUUCAGAUGGUGUAGAUUCUUUUUAUACUGGAAUUUGAUGUGACAAAAUUUUCUGCCAAAAAAUGGGAUUUGUGUUAGUACGUAUCCCACCAAUUUAUUUUUUCAUAUUAAAUUCUGAUAUAAUUACAAUCUACAAACUCUGAAAGGAAGAAAUUUUCACUUUUCUGAAAUCUAUGAAGAGACAAAGUCAGUGGAGCAUAUCUGUGUGUGUGUGUGUGCUUAUUGCUUUAAUCUAAAUAUCUUCAAUUAUAAUUUUAAAGACUACACUUUUAUUAUUAUUAUUGCCUUUGUUUCAAUACAUUUUGGAAAUAGUAAAGAAUUCAAUGAAAUAACCUCGCCCUUACUAAGCUAGUGUUUGGAACACAAGUUUAUUUGAAGCCUUGAUGGAAGGUUUUUCUUUAGAUCUCUUUAAAACAGGGAAUUCAUACAAUAAAAACAAAGGCAGUUUUGAGCAGGUUGGGAUCAAAAGGGUUCAGCCUUAUUGAUAUUACUAUCUUUUAUUAAAAACAAAAAGUAUAUGUUUUCUUGUUCAUCUUUUGCAGAUGAGGAAACAACAAGAUUUGGAUCUAAUGUAUCCAGAUGUAUCCUACUUACUACAGAUAGCGAAACAACAUUUAAGAAGUUGAUUAUCCGAGUGGGAUCACUGCCAGAGCAGCUGUCUGGCUUCCGUUCCGGUGGGCAUGUGAAAAGCACCAUUUGAGCGUGAUCAUUACCAGCGUCGCCUUACUGGCAUGUGAACAAAACAUCCUAGCGAGGUCGUUGCCAGUGCCGCUGGACUGACUCCUGUGCACGUGGCACAUAAAGAAAAAAAACCAUUCUGUGAAUUCCAUUUUUCAACAUUGGCCAACCUUGUUAUAGACCUUCACAGAUUUCCAUGCUGGCAUGGGGCUGGACGCUUUGACCAGAGGUCAUCAGCUGAGAAGCUGCACCGGGUCCCUGUCUGAUUCAGCUUCAUUUCUAUGGCUGGAUGACCUUUCUAAUGCCAACCACUCCUGAGAGCGUCCUAGGUGCUACUGGUAGGUGGGUUUUACCACAUGGCAGAAGAACAAGCCAACCCUCUCCACUAGAGUGUGUUUCUUUAACACUCAGGCUGUGGUGGUUGGGUCUCCUUCAGUACAGGUCCCCUUCAGUACUGGUUGGCUAUAAUUUUAGAAACCCUGAAAUUCAUAUUCAGGAAAUAUUCUUUUCUCUAAGCACAAAACCCGAAAUUUUGGGAGAGGGGAUCAGUCGCUUAGGUCGAACCCAGUAUGCAACUGCUACUUAAUUUAUUGACCCUGA
This is an RNA transcript of Octopus sinensis (East Asian common octopus), 2466 nucleotides long. RefSeq lists it as uncharacterized. NCBI's taxonomy places the organism in Eukaryota, Metazoa, Mollusca, Cephalopoda, Octopoda, Octopodidae. The record is from RefSeq and is a predicted model, not a curated record. The transcript has 4 exons.